Molecule: long non-coding RNA, 1149 nt
Organism: Bufo bufo (common toad)
Lineage: Eukaryota; Metazoa; Chordata; Amphibia; Anura; Bufonidae
Exons: 2
Source: RefSeq, a predicted model, not a curated record
GUCUUUUAAGUUGCUGUCAAUUCACAUUUCCAGAGCAUUUUACACAUUAUGUAUAAUCUACAUAGAAAGUUUUUGCUUCUGUUGUACUAAUAAUAUAGAAUGUACAGUAGACUAUUCUCAUAGAAAAGUGUUGACUUUAUAGCAGACACGGUGCAGUUAGUUGAUGCAGGAAAAGCUAAAGACGCCCAUACAUUAGUCUAAAGUUGAUCAAAACGAAUGAUUCCAACAAAAAUGACUAUUUGUAAGGUAAAAUUAAACAAAAAAUGAUCAUAUUAGCUGACCAGUCAUUGAAUGGAAAGAAAAAAGAACUCCCCAGAACAAUCCCAGGAGGUUUUUUAUCCAUCACCCGGUGUAGCUGAACAUUUAUGGAUAGUCUGAAUAGACCAAAGAGAUAGUUCACUCGUCGGUCAUUUGUACAACAGUUAUGCAGCCAUCAACUUAAUACUUAAUAUGCAUGGUCGACUUUACUCUCCCAAAAUGUACUAUAGUAGAGAGGCUAUAUAGGAGCCCAGCCAGGCUGCUGGGGAAGUGUCUAUCAACAUAUUUUGAAUAGUUCCUCUAUCAAAACACCAAAAUCUAAAUCCAGCUGUUUUCUAUAAUGCAGCUGUUACGCUAUAAAAAAUAAAAAAAACUACCAAGGGAAAAGCUUUGAGUGGUGUAGAAGACAUCCAAAGUCACAUAAGAAGUCACUACCGUUGCAAAUGUCACAUGGUAGAUGGAAGGCCAGAUUUUGCAUUGGGGCCCAGAAGCCUCAAGCUAAACCUAUGUAAGAUAGAAUCACUAAAGCGAUAUAUUUGCAAACUUACUUGAGAUUGAUAUUGACAUGUAACAAUCCUCAUCUUGACUCGAGUAAAGUAAACAAUAGCAAGAAAAUGUUCAUUGACUUUGUCAAUGGCUUGUGUCACAAGAUUUAGCUGUGACGUGUUAUCACGGAUCUGCUACAUCUGUAUGAAGGAUAUCUAUAUGUAAAAUGUAAAAUUAUGUGCAAAAGCAAACUUGCAUCUUAACCAUCAAUCGCUAUGUAAAACUCGUAGAAAUUUGUAAUUAUUGUAGUAUAUAUUAUUUUCUUUAUAAAUAAUUGUAUCAGGACUUUUACUUAAUACUUACAACUGCUACUUUGAACAACUAUCUGGAGGAUUUUGUCUGAUA